GGUUCCAUAGUGUAGCGGUUAGCAGGUCUGCUUUACAUGCAGAAGGUCCUGGGUUCCGGCCCCAGUGGAGCCA
This 73-nucleotide transfer RNA is filed under the name Pteropus alecto (black flying fox). It matches the Rfam family "tRNA". Rfam says of the family: Transfer RNA (tRNA) molecules are approximately 80 nucleotides in length. Their secondary structure includes four short double-helical elements and three loops (D, anti-codon, and T loops). Further hydrogen bonds mediate the characteristic L-shaped molecular structure. tRNAs have two regions of fundamental functional importance: the anti-codon, which is responsible for specific mRNA codon recognition, and the 3' end, to which the tRNAs corresponding amino acid is attached (by aminoacyl-tRNA synthetases). tRNAs cope with the degeneracy of the genetic code in two manners: having more than one tRNA (with a specific anti-codon) for a particular amino acid; and 'wobble' base-pairing, i.e. permitting non-standard base-pairing at the 3rd anti-codon position. Lineage: Eukaryota; Metazoa; Chordata; Mammalia; Chiroptera; Pteropodidae. The record is from Rfam by way of RNAcentral. RNAcentral also lists the same sequence under 1 other name.